GCAAAACCUCCUUGUUAAAGCUAAGCAGGGCCGGGCCUGGUUAAUAUGUGGAUGGGAGACCUCUGGGAAUAUCAGGUGC
RNAcentral lists this ribosomal RNA (79 nucleotides) under Periophthalmus magnuspinnatus. The record is from RNAcentral. Lineage: Eukaryota; Metazoa; Chordata; Actinopteri; Gobiiformes; Gobiidae.